RNAcentral lists this ribosomal RNA (433 nucleotides) under uncultured bacterium. Its description in RNAcentral is "partial 16S ribosomal RNA". It matches the Rfam family "Bacterial small subunit ribosomal RNA", at positions 29 to 507 of the family's 1533-position model. The record is from RNAcentral.
AACGAACGCUGGCGGCAUGCCUAACACAUGCAAGUCGAACGAGACCUUCGGGUCUAGUGGCGCACGGGUGCGUAACGCGUGGGAACCUGCCCUUAGGUUCGGAAUAACUCCCCGAAAGGGGUGCUAAUACCGGAUAAUGUCUUCGGACCAAAGAUUUAUCGCCUUUGGAUGGGCCCGCGUUGGAUUAGCUAGUUGGUAGGGUAAAAGCCUACCAAGGCGACGAUCCAUAGCUGGUCUGAGAGGAUGAUCAGCCACACUGGGACUGAGACACGGCCCAGACUCCUACGGGAGGCAGCAGUGGGGAAUAUUGGACGAGGGGCGAAAGCCUGAUCCAGCAAUGCCGCGUGAGUGAGCAAGGCCUUAGGGUUGUAAAGCUCUUUUACCCGGGAUGAUAAUGACAGUACCGGGAGAAUAAGCUCCGGCUAACUCCGUG